UCUAUGGCGGGUCGUGGUGGGGGCAGCUUCGGCUGCGUCGGUUUCCAUAACGCCGAUACGCCAACCCUAUCACGUACCUGCCACCCU
RNAcentral lists this non-coding RNA (87 nucleotides) under Chitinibacter tainanensis. The record is from RNAcentral. Lineage: Bacteria; Pseudomonadati; Pseudomonadota; Betaproteobacteria; Neisseriales; Chitinibacteraceae.